RNAcentral lists this long non-coding RNA (284 nucleotides) under Vigna radiata. RNAcentral describes it as "long non-coding RNA (VRAD_LNC009143)". Lineage: Eukaryota; Viridiplantae; Streptophyta; Magnoliopsida; Fabales; Fabaceae. The record is from RNAcentral.
AUAACGGAAACGGGUAGCGUGAUGAGUUUCCAGGCAAGACCUGGCGGCGGUUGGGGUAGAGGUUGGAGAUCGGGUGCGGAGGGAAGAUGAUUGUUAGGGUUAGGUUGCGGGGUGUCGGUGGUGGGGUUUACGGAAGUGGUGAAGGAAGAGAUUGCGAGUUCGAGGUCCCAAUUGUGAGCAGCUAGGAUUUCAGUGCAGAGGUCUGCAUCUUCUAAACCAGUUAUCGCUUGAAAAUACGCUAAUUUAUCUGCUACAUCUCCCAUUUUCCUUCCUUCUUCCACCUU